Molecule: transfer RNA, 67 nt
Filed under: Pimelodus maculatus
Lineage: Eukaryota; Metazoa; Chordata; Actinopteri; Siluriformes; Pimelodidae
Description: tRNA-Cys
Rfam family: tRNA
About the family: Transfer RNA (tRNA) molecules are approximately 80 nucleotides in length. Their secondary structure includes four short double-helical elements and three loops (D, anti-codon, and T loops).
Source: RNAcentral
AGCCUUGUGGUGUAUAACAUAUUGGAUUGCAAAUCCGAAGUAGCCGGUUAGUAGCCGGCCGGGGCUU